RNAcentral lists this long non-coding RNA (876 nucleotides) under Homo sapiens (human). Its description in RNAcentral is "long non-coding RNA NONHSAT148552.1". Lineage: Eukaryota; Metazoa; Chordata; Mammalia; Primates; Hominidae. The record is from RNAcentral.
GGUGUCUGGAGGCUGUGGCCGUUUUGUUUUCUUGGCUAAAAUCGGGGGAGUGAGGCGGGCCGGCGCGGCGCGACACCGGGCUCCGGAACCACUGCACGACGGGGCUGGACUGACCUGAAAAAAAUGUCUGGAUUUCUAGAGGGCUUGAGAUGCUCAGAAUGCAUUGACUGGGGGGAAAAGCGCAAUACUAUUGCUUCCAUUGCUGCUGGUGUACUAUUUUUUACAGGCUGGUGGAUUAUCAUAGAUGCAGCUGUUAUUUAUCCCACCAUGAAAGAUUUCAACCACUCAUACCAUGCCUGUGGUGUUAUAGCAACCAUAGCCUUCCUAAUGAUUAAUGCAGUAUCGAAUGGACAAGUCCGAGGUGAUAGUUACAGUGAAGGUUGUCUGGGUCAAACAGGUGCUCGCAUUUGGCUUUUCGUUGGUUUCAUGUUGGCCUUUGGAUCUCUGAUUGCAUCUAUGUGGAUUCUUUUUGGAGGUUAUGUUGCUAAAGGUAAGAGAAAACAUAGUAUACCCUGGAAUUGCUGUAUUUUUCCAGAAUGCCUUCAUCUUUUUUGGGGCUGGUUUUUAAGUUUGGCCGCACUGAAGACUUAUGGCAGUGAACACAUCUGAUUUCCCACAGCACAACAGCCCUGCAUGGGUUUGUUUGUUUUUUUACUGCUCACUCCCAACCUUUUGUAAUGCCAUUUUCUAAACUUAUUUCUGAGUGUAGUCUCAGCUUAAAGUUGUGUAAUACUAAAAUCACGAGAACACCUAAACAACAACCAAAAAUCUAUUGUGGUAUGCACUUGAUUAACUUAUAAAAUGUUAGAGGAAACUUUCACAUGAAUAAUUUUUGUCAAAUUUUAUCAUGGUAUAAUUUGUAAAAAUAAAAAGAAA